RNAcentral lists this unclassified non-coding RNA (306 nucleotides) under plant metagenome. RNAcentral's name for it is "partial contains 5.8S ribosomal RNA, internal transcribed spacer 2, and large subunit ribosomal RNA". The stretch from base 1 to 105 matches the Rfam family "5.8S ribosomal RNA", at positions 50 to 154 of the family's 154-position model. The record is from RNAcentral.
GAAAUGCGAUAAGUAAUGUGAAUUGCAGAAUUCAGUGAAUCAUCGAAUCUUUGAACGCACAUUGCGCCCGCCAGUAUUCUGGCGGGCAUGCCUGUCCGAGCGUCAUUUCAACCAUCAAGCCCCCGGGCUUAUGUUGGGGACCUGCGGCUGCCCGCAGGCCCUGAAAACCAGUGGCGGGCUCGCUGUCACACCGAGCGUAGUAGCAAUCACCUCGCUCAGGGCGUGCUGCGGGUUCCGGCCGUUAAACAGCCUUACAAAACCCAAGGUUGACCUCGGAUCAGGUAGGAAGACCCGCUGAACUUAAGC